UACGGAGGGUGCAAGCGUUAAUCGGAAUUAUUGGGCGUAAAGGGCGCGUAGGCGGGGAGGCAAGUUAGAUGUGAAAUCCCGGGGCUCAACCCCGGACCCGCAUCUGAUACUGCUAUUCUAGAGGAUGGAUGGAGAAGAGGGAAUUCCGCAUGUAGCGGUGAAAUGCGUAGAUAUGUGAAAGAACACCGGUGGCGAAGGCGGUUGUCUAAUUCAUACCUGACGCUGAGGCGCGAAAGCAUGGGGAGCGAACAGG
Molecule: ribosomal RNA, 253 nt
Filed under: uncultured bacterium
Lineage: Bacteria
Description: partial 16S ribosomal RNA
Rfam family: Bacterial small subunit ribosomal RNA
Source: RNAcentral